UUUUGACCUCGGAUCAGGUAGGGAUACCCGCUGAACUUAAGCAUAUCAAUAAGCCGGAGGAAAACCUGCGGAGGAGCAUAUCAAUAAGCCGGAGGAACCCUGCGGAGGACCGUCUNGAUAAAGUCGUGCAACGGGGGUGGGGGACAAGUCGUGGGCUC
This 158-nucleotide ribosomal RNA is filed under the name Alternaria preussii. RNAcentral's name for it is "partial 28S ribosomal RNA". Lineage: Eukaryota; Fungi; Ascomycota; Dothideomycetes; Pleosporales; Pleosporaceae. The record is from RNAcentral.